GAAACUGGUUAUAAUACGUCAGGAGGCACAAUCCUCAGACGUAUUUACACGUACGCAUGACACCUGACAAACUGACGUUUCACGUCUCACUCUGUUCUCACCCUCAGGCAGCUGUUCGUGAAAUGAAUAACACGACGUAGGAAUAUGGAUCACAAUUCUUUUGGGAUAUCUAAUAUUUGUUCCUCCGUUUUCCACACCACGUAGAGCAGAUCAAAGAGGAUGAGGGAGCAGAUACCUAAUGGAGUUUGAUAAAUUGAUUUAUCCACAUUUGUCAUUCUAUUUUAUGAAGUGAUAAAAAAUCGUCCGUAGGAUGGAGUAAUUGGUAGAAAUAUGUUAACUUUAUCAGUUUACAUUCACCCAUCAUACAUUUUAAAGACUUUCUUUACAAUUCAUAAUUUUAUUAACGUGGUUGCGCGCCAAAUAUUAGCAUUCAUGAGGUUUUCUAAAUGAAAUAUUUAUUAUAUCUUUAACAUCCUCCAACAUAUAUGAACAUCAUGUGUAUGCACGCAUAUAAUAUAUCUGUAUAUGUACAACAAAUGGAAGCCACACGUCUCCCGACUUUUCUUACAACAUUGAAAUAUUUAACAUCACAUAAUAUAACGAUGAACUAAAAAAAUAAUCAUAUACAAAAAUUAUAUCAUCGCGUUUUACGCGAUAUAAAUUCUGAGUGGGUAACAUUAUCACGGGUAUAUAUGUAUACAUCUAGGCGUUUCUAACACCUAGGCAGUAGCUUAUGGUUACAGAAUGUAUUUGCUUGAAAUAUAUGUGUGCUAUAGGAUAACAAACAUUAUAUCAGUGUACAGUAUAUAAAUUCAAUAUGCGUUCACGGAAUAUAAUUGCAACGGGUUUGGAAAAUAGUGGAUAUAAGACGAGUGUUCAACCUUUACCUCCCACCAUUCACAUCUAUGUUGUCAAUUGAUAAAUAUAUUUGACACUGAUUAUAAAAUCAUUGCGUAACUGUAUAUUAAAAAAUUCUAUUUUUGUGCAUAGGAAGUGCAAUCUGUAUAUAUAUACAGAGAAUACGAGAUGAUAUUGCAAGAAAUUAGAAUGGAAAUCGAAAAUCGAGACUGUUUUGUUUCCGUUUUGGUUGUACAUCAAAU
Molecule: long non-coding RNA, 1100 nt
Organism: Neodiprion fabricii
Lineage: Eukaryota; Metazoa; Arthropoda; Insecta; Hymenoptera; Diprionidae
Exons: 2
Source: RefSeq, a predicted model, not a curated record